RNAcentral lists this ribosomal RNA (497 nucleotides) under uncultured bacterium. RNAcentral's name for it is "partial 16S ribosomal RNA". It matches the Rfam family "Bacterial small subunit ribosomal RNA", at positions 28 to 507 of the family's 1533-position model. The record is from RNAcentral.
GACGAACGCUGGCGGCGUGCCUAAUACAUGCAAGUUGAGCGAUGAAGAUUGGUGCUUGCACCAAUUUGAAGAGCAGCGAACGGGUGAGUAACGCGUGGGGAAUCUGCCUUUGAGCGGGGGACAACAUUUGGAAACGAAUGCUAAUACCGCAUAACAACUUUAAACAUAAGUUUUAAGUUUGAAAGAUGCAAUUGCAUCACUCAAAGAUGAUCCCGCGUUGUAUUAGCUAGUUGGUGAGGUAAAGGCUCACCAAGGCGAUGAUACAUAGCCGACCUGAGAGGGUGAUCGGCCACAUUGGGACUGGGACACGGCCCAAACUCCUACGGGAGGCAGCAGUAGGGAAUCUUCGGCAAUGGACGAAAGUCUGACCGAGCAACGCCGCGUGAGUGAAGAAGGGUUUCGGAUCGUAAAACUCUGUUGGUAGAGAAGAACGUUGGUGAGAGUGGAAAGCUCAUCAAGUGACGGUAACUACCCAGAAAGGGACGGCUAACUACGUG